GAUGAAGAACGUAGCGAAAUGCGAUAAGUAAUGUGAAUUGCAGAAUUCAGUGAAUCAUCGAAUCUUUGAACGCACCUUGCGCCCUUUGGCUAUUCCAGAGGGCAUGCCUGUUUGAGUAUCAUGAACACCUCAACUCUCAUGGUUCUGCCAUGAUGAGCUUGGACUUUGGAGGUCUUGCUGGCCCCUGUGGUCAGCUCCUCUCAAAUGGAUCAGCUUGCCAGUGUUUGGUGGCAUCACAGGAGUGAUAACUAUCUACGCUUGUGGUUUUCCACCAGGUAACCUUCAGUGAUGGAGGUUCGCUGGAGCUCAUAAACGUCUCUCCUCAGCGAGGACAGCUUCUUGAAUGUUUGAUCUCAAAUCAGGUAGGGCUACCCGCUGAACUUAAGCAUAUCAAUAAGCGGAGGA
RNAcentral lists this unclassified non-coding RNA (405 nucleotides) under soil metagenome. RNAcentral describes it as "partial contains 5.8S ribosomal RNA, internal transcribed spacer 2, and large subunit ribosomal RNA". The stretch from base 1 to 121 matches the Rfam family "5.8S ribosomal RNA", at positions 35 to 154 of the family's 154-position model. The record is from RNAcentral.